AACGAACGCUGGCGGCAUGCCUAACACAUGCCAGUCGAACGAGACCUUCGGGACUAGUGGCGCACGGGUGCGUAACGUGUGGGAACCUGCCCUUAGGCUCGGAAUAACUCCCCGAAAGGGGUGCUAAUACCGGAUAAUUUCUUCUGACCAAAGAUUUAUCGUCUUUGGAUGGGCCCGCGUUGGAUUAGCUAGUUGGUAGGGUAAAAGCCUACCAAGGCGACGAUCCAUAGCUGGGCUGAGAGGAUGAUCAGCCACACUGGGACUGAGACACGGCCCAGACUCCUACGGGAGGCAGCAGUGGGGAAUAUUGGACAAUGGGCGAAAGCCUGAUCCAGCAAUGCCGCGUGAGUGAUGAAGGCCUUAGGGUUGUAAAGCUCUUUUACCCGGGAUGAUAAUGACAGUACCGGGAGAAUAAGCUCCGGCUAACUCCGUG
This 433-nucleotide ribosomal RNA is filed under the name uncultured bacterium. Its description in RNAcentral is "partial 16S ribosomal RNA". It matches the Rfam family "Bacterial small subunit ribosomal RNA", at positions 29 to 507 of the family's 1533-position model. The record is from RNAcentral.